GCUCGUGUAUAGCAAAGGCUAGCGCGUAAGACUGUUAAUCUUGAGGCUGCUGGUUCGAUUCCAGCCAUGAACG
RNAcentral lists this transfer RNA (73 nucleotides) under Entomophthora muscae. RNAcentral describes it as "tRNA-Asn". It matches the Rfam family "tRNA". From Rfam's summary of the family: Transfer RNA (tRNA) molecules are approximately 80 nucleotides in length. Their secondary structure includes four short double-helical elements and three loops (D, anti-codon, and T loops). The record is from RNAcentral. Lineage: Eukaryota; Fungi; Entomophthoromycota; Entomophthoromycetes; Entomophthorales; Entomophthoraceae.